This 466-nucleotide ribosomal RNA is filed under the name uncultured bacterium. RNAcentral describes it as "partial 16S ribosomal RNA". It matches the Rfam family "Bacterial small subunit ribosomal RNA", at positions 28 to 507 of the family's 1533-position model. The record is from RNAcentral.
GAUGAACGCUGGCGGCGUGCUUAACACAUGCAAGUCGAACGAUGAAGCCCAGCUUGCUGGGUGGAUUAGUGGCGAACGGGUGAGUAACACGUGAGUAACCUGCCCUUAACUCUGUGAUAAGCCUGGGAAACUGGGUCUAAUACCGGAUAGGAGCGCCUACCGCAUGGUGGGUGUUGGAAAGAUUUAUCGGUUUUGGAUGGACUCGCGGCCUAUCAGCUUGUUGGUGAGGUAAUGGCUCACCAAGGCGACGACGGGUAGCCGGCCUGAGAGGGUGACCGGCCACACUGGGACUGAGACACGGCCCAGACUCCUACGGGAGGCAGCAGUGGGGAAUAUUGCACAAUGGGCGAAAGCCUGAUGCAGCGACGCCGCGUGAGGGAUGACGGCCUUCGGGUUGUAAACCGCUUUCAGUAGGGAAGAAGCGAAAGUGACGGUACCUGCAGAAGAAGCACCGGCUAACUACGUG